AGCCUUUAGUCGCUCAUCCAAGGCAUUAAGUGACUGCCCUUGCAACAUCAACUGCCAAACCGAUUCCACCAAAGGUGGCUGCCCUUCUUCUAUAGGCCUCCUUCCACACAUGACCUCCAAAAUCAAGACCCCAAAACCGAACACGUCGGUUCGAGCUGAGGCUCUUCCGCUUCGAACCACCUCAGGUGCCAUGUAUCCUAUGGUUCCAACCACCCGCGUGGUGCUAGGCACUUGACCAUGCCCGUGCACUCGAGCCAAUCCAAAAUCACCUAACCUUCCAUUCAUAUCCAUGUCAAGUAACACGUUGCUGGCCUUGAUGUCUCUGUGUAGGACUUGAGAAUCCCAUCCCUCGUGCAAAUACAGUAAUGCAGAAGCCACAUCUUUCAAAAUUCUUAUUCUCUCUUCACAGCUCAACAUUUUACUCUCAUCACAUUCGAACACCCUCUUCUCCAAACUCCCAUUUUCCAUGUAGUCAUAUACCAACAUGAAGACUCCUCUUUCUCUCUUGCACCAACCUCUCAACCCAACCAAACUCCUAUGCUUCAACCUUCCAAGACUUGAAAUUUCAGCUAAAAACUCCCUCAUCCCAUCAUUUUCAUGUGAAAUUCGCUUCACUGCAAUCUCUGUCCCUCCUGGUAAGACACCCUUGUAGACCUUUCCAUUUCCUCCGAUUCCAAUAACAUUUUCUUCACUGAAUCCUUUUGUUGCUGCUUCGAUUUCUUGAUACCUAAUUCUAUGUGGCCAGUACUCCAAUUCCCAAUCCUCCAUUUCCUCUCUCUCCCUUGCUUUCCUUUGUCUUCUCUUAAUCAAAAACCAUAUAAUUGUAGCAGCAGAAACAACGAGAAGCACCCCUCCCACUGUGGCUCCUGCAAUGAACACUUUAGACCGAUAGAAUGGAUCUUUCGGAAGCACAAACGAUGGCAAACCAGUAGUGAUUAACCUCUCACUUAACGAAAAAUUGGAAUUGCUAAAGCUCCAUGCCAAAAUCUUGUGACUUUCAACAAGUUGUCCGGUUGAAGAAGUGAAUCCCACAUACAUCUCAUCCUCAAAAACAUCAGAUAGAUUAAGAGACAUAUUCAAUAAAGGCCUGGCAGGCCUUUUCAUGCCGGCCGGAGCCAUAGUAACAUUAACCAUAGAAUCUUUAUAGUCAAUCCAAACUUGGUAGUUUUUACCAUUAUUUAGAUCCUGUUCCUUAAAAGAAUUACUAUCCUCAUCACUGGUGUUCCCAUUGCUGCUGCUCCUUGAAUUAUCGGGCCAAUAGCCUGCAUCUGCUGCUUCAAUUGAUGUAAGUGAAUUAUUUACAUCUAUUCCAACAUGAUUAUUAUUCAUAUCACUGAAUUCUUCAUUUGCGAACACAUCAAACUCGAUGCCAAGCAUAUGAUUAUCUGAACUGUUACCGUUCGUACGAUUCAGAAAGCCUAAAUAUUGAGCUGAAGUAGACCUUUGAAUGCCUGUAAAGGGCACAAAAAGAAAAGCCAAGCCAGUCCCAGGAAGAACAUUCUUGUAAGGGACCAUAGCAAAAAUAAAAGAAGUGGAAAAUGGAUACACAAAUGAAGAGUCUGGAGCUUUGGUUGGUAUCUUUGUUGGGUACAAAGCACGGCCAAUUUCGAAAGAUGUUUGAUUUGUAAGUGUAAGAAUGCGAGAUUCAAUGAUGGCAGAGCCAUAGAGUGACACACUAGAGGAAUUGAAUCCAUUGAAGACAAAGUCAAUAGCCGAUAUGGGUUGCAAAAACAGGAUUAUAAGAAGUAGAAGCAAGGCAAGAUCAAGCUUGCUGUUGAAUUUCUUCAUUUCAAUCCAAGAAGCAAGGAGAGAAAGAGAAAGCAAGGUGUUUUUCAUGGUAGAUUAUAACGACAGACAGAUAAGGUGGUCUGAAACAGGAGGUUAAGGUUGUACAGAAAGGAUAGCAGUCUCUUUCAACUUGCCCAUGUCAAACGUUUAGCAGCAGGAUUAAUGGUUGUGAAUUUGUCCAUGAACCUACGCAAUUGGAAUUUUGGGUUUAUUACAAUAUCAAGGUCGAUUAUCUUCGAAGAAAAUACUUGGUAGGUUCAAACUUAUUUCCUUAGAUAUAAAUUUCGGAUUAGCCAGCAAGUUGAUUUAGAAUCUAAAGGCAUCUAAAUUAAAGAAAAAAAUAAAAAAUAAAUAAUUAAUAUAAUAAAAAAUUCAGGUUAAUUUACUAAUCCGGUUAAGUCAGUUAAAACUUUAUCUUAACUUAUUGAUUAUUUUAAAAUAAUAUUAUUUGUUUUUUUAAAAAAAUAUUUUAUUUAUUUUAUUUUAUUAACUCAUGUAGGCAUGUUACACGUUACAUGAUUUGAUAAUUAAAUACGUUUGGCAAUAUUCUUGUUUCUAAUUUAUCGUUUUUAAAAAAUAAAAAAAAAGUUGUUCUUAUAUUUGAACUUAAAACAAUAAUACAAAAAGUAAACUCAUAUAACUAUUGUCUAAUUAUAAAUAUUCAUUUAACAUUAAGGGUGAUAUAUAUAUAUAUAUAUAUAUAUAUAUUAAUUUAAUAACGAAAACUGGUCAUGAACUUCAUACAGAUCUCGUAUACAAAAAAAAAACUAAAUAAAAAAAAAAUUAGAGAAACUUCAUUUUGAAGAUUUUUGAGGCAAUGUUCAAACGUUUCUAGUUUCUUCUUCUUCUUCUCGUAUUAAUUACAGUCACAAUCAACCUCGUUAGGAGUUAGGUAGCAGAAAAGAAUUGGGGUCCAGAUACAAUGGCAACUUGAUAUAUUUUAAGAGAAACUAUAAAUGUGGCCCUGCUAUGCUACAGGUUAAUUUAUUUUACAUAAACAAUAUAAAAAUAUUAAGAUUUAAAAGUAUUAAGUUUUUCUCUAAAGUUAUACCUAAAAGUAUUGGGAUGUCUGCUACCCCUGACCCAAAAAUUAUAUUUAUAUUAUUAAUAAUAAUAUUAAACUUGCAUGGCUCAAGUUUAUGUGAGUUUGUUUGCAAUAUCAAACUCGAAAUCUUGGAUAUGAGUCUCGCUGCUUAUAAAAAUAUGAUAAUUAAAAAGAAAAAAAAUUAGUAUUACAGAAUAAAAUUUUUUAAAAAUAAUUAAAUAGAAAAAAAAACAAUAAAACAAAGCAUUAUUCUGAUAGAUAAUGAUUUGCAAGGAGGGGUACCUUAAAAUCCUCUCAUGAGAUAAUAAUAAUCCAAUGAAUAGUAAACAAAAUAAAUCAUACAGUUUCAUUUUUAAUCAAAUCAAUAUUAAAAGAUGAAAUUAAAAGAAAAAAAAACCUACUUAAGAAAAAAAAAAAAAAAUUGAAUCAACUGGUUUCACCCUUCCAAUCUGGGCUUUGUGUCAUGAAAUUGAAAGAAAAAAGGUUGAUGCAUUUUAGUUAUAGUUAAUUACAAUACUUAAAGAUGAAAUUAGAGAAAAAAAAACCAAUGAAGAAAAAAUAAUAUGAAUCAACUAGGUUAACCCACCAAAUCAGGUCUUGGGAUUUUUGUCAUGAGAGUGUGAUAACUAAAUAGAAAAAAAUUAAUAUUAAUGAACUAAAUUAAACAAAAAAAAUUAAUUAAAAAGAAAAAAACAAAGAAAAAAAAGCUACAGGAAGAAAAAAAUUAAUGAAGAAAAAGAAAAAAAAAUAUGAAUUAACUGGGUUAACCCGUCAAACCUGGGAUCCAUGUUAUGAAAGUUUGAUAACUAAAUAGAAAAAAAAAACUUAAUAUUAACAAACUAAAUUAAAAAAAUUAAUUAAAAAGGGAAAAAAAAAGCAAAAAGCAAAAAGAAAACAAAAAUACUAAACAAAAACAAGAUUAAUUUAAAAGAAAAAAAAGCCUACAUGAAGAAAAAAACUAAUUAAAAAAUAAAUAAAAAGUUCUGAAUUAACUGGGUUAACCCUUCAAACCAGGUUAACUAGACAAGACUAUAAUUUGUGUCAUGAAAGUUUGAUAACUAAAUAGGAAAAAAUAUUAUGGGUUAACUCAGAAUAAGCCAAUUUAACCCGUUAAACCCGGGAUCAGUGUCAUAAAAGUUUAAUAACGAAAUAGAAAAAAAUUAACAUUAACAAACUAAAUUAAAUAAAAAAAUUAAUUAAAAAAAAAUCGGGUUAACUUGGAAUCCGUGUCAUGAAAUUUUGAUAACUAAAUAGAAAAAAAAUUUAAUAUCAACAAACUAAAUUAAAUAAAAAAAUAUUCAUUAAAAAAAAGAAAAAAGCAAAAAAAAAUAUAUAUAAAAAACCUACUCAGUGUUUUCACUGUGGGUUAAUUAUAUUAUUAAAAGAUGAAAUUUAAAGAAAAAAACUAAUGAAAAAAAAGAAAAAAAAUCUGAAUCAACUCGAUUAACCCACCAAAUCAACUUAAUCCGUCAAACCUGGGAUUCGUAUCAUGAGAGUGAUAACUAAAUAGAAAAAAAAUAAUAUUAAUGAACUAAAUUAAACAAAAAAAAAGAUUAAUUAAAAAGAAAAAAAGAACAAAGAAAAAAAACCUACAUAAAGAAAAAAAACUAAUGAAGAAAAAGAAAAAAAUCUGAAUUAACUAGGUUAACCCGUCAAACCGGGAAUCCGUGUUAUGAAAGUUUAAUAACUAAAUAGAAAAAAAUUUAAUAUUAACAAACUAAAUUAAAAAAAAAUCAAUUAAAAACAAAGAAAAAAAAAGCUUACAUGAAAAAAAAAACUAAUGAAGAAAAAGAAAAAAAAACAUCUGAAUUAACUGGGUUAACCCUUCAAACCAGAUUAACCCGUCAAACAUGGGAUUCAUGUCAUGAAAGUUUGAUAACUGAUUAGGAACAAAAAAAAUUACGGGUUAACCCAAAAUUAGCUGGGUUAACUCGUCAAACCCAGAAUUCGUGCCAUAAAAGUUUCAUAACUAAAUAAAAAAACAAUUAACAUUAACAAACUAAAUUAAACAAAAAAAUUAAUUAAAAAAAACCAGAAAUAAAAAUCUGAGUUAACCUAUCAAACCCGGAAUGCAUGUUAUGAAAGUUUGAUAACUAAACAGAAAAAAAAAAAUUAACUUUAACAAAAAAAAUUAAACAAAAAAGCUAUUCAUUAAAAAAAAAAAAGAAAAAAAAAAGACAACUCAGCUUUUACUGUGGACUGCACUGUGCAGUCCACAGUAAAAGACUGAGCAGUUUUAGUUUAUUAGAUAAUUCAAGGGUAUUAAUGAGCAGAAACUCUUAGAGUUUGUUUGACAGUGUGACUGUGGUUGCUUUUCAAAUAAUUUUUCAUGCUAAAAUACAUAUCAAUGAUAUUUUUUAUUUUUUAAAAAUUAUUUUUGGCAUCAGCCCAUUAAAAUAAUUUGAAAAUAUUAAAAAUAUAUGAAUUUAAAAAAAUAAAAAAAUAAAAAAAUUUCAAAUUUUUUUAAAGAUGUUUUUAAAAAUUAAAAACAAGCAGGCCUUUAUAUAUAUAUAUAUAUAUAUUAACAACAACCGUUCUGAAGUGUGGGUGCUAAAUCUAAGAAGGUUUAAAUAUUUUUAAUAUUUUUUUAUAUAUAAAAAAAUAUAAUAUUAACUCGUUGUACAAUAUGUAUCAAUAUACCAGAGAAUGUGUGUUUUUGUGUGUAAUAAGGUAUGAUAGCAUUGUUGUAAUUAAUGAGGAUAAGAGGAAUUAUAUAUAGUACUGUGGUUUCUUAUAGAAGCCAUACGUGGCCGGCACUAGGAGAAUAUAUAGAGUUUUAUUCAUAGUUUUGAAAUCCGGACCAGCCCGGCGGGUAUGCCCGGGACUCGGGCAUGAAACUAACCCGGGUCUAAGUAAAAACCCUUCGAGAAGUUGGUCCGGCGAAACCUGGUUGUUCUAAUGGGUCGACCCGGAACUCGGUUAACCUAGGUAAACUCGGAUGAGACCCACUUUUUUUAUAUAUAUGUAUACAUAGCCGGAAACGACAUUGUUCAUUGUGGUCUUUUAAAGUAUCAAAAAUUUUGACUCAUGUCACACCUUAAAAAAAAAUAUGGCGCGGCAUCGGCUGGCGAUUUUUUCAUCGUUUGUUGCGUUUGCUUUGAAUUCGUUCUUGGGAGUCGCCACCUAGUAUUUUGGUCACUAGGAACCUUAACUGGUCUUUCAGAGAUUCUAAGGCAAGGGACUGGUUGCGUAAAGGGAAGGUAUUAGAACCCCUAGUACGCCCUACCUAAGGUAAGCUGCUUGGUGUUUGGUUUGCUCUAUAAUUGCUAUGGUGUUGGUGUUUUCUAAUCCCAUCAAUUUUCCUAGGUUUAUUCAAAUAAAAAUUAUUUGGAUAGAAAUCCAAGGAGAUUCCAUGUGCUUCGAAAGCUCAUUUUUCCCUUAGUAUUUCAAAAGUUUGCGACUCGUAAAUCGCAAGAAAGAGGGAUAAAAAAUUUAGAAAUCUAAGGAAAUUCAAAGCGCUUUUAAAAGCCUCCUUUUGCCUUAGUAUUUCAUACUUUCACGGCUCGUAAACCGUGGAGUAAAAAAUUUGAAGUUUUGAAAUGUCCUCGAUUAUAAUCAAGGCUUCUUUCAAGGAUGUGUGCGGAUUUAUUACUCCCAAUAAUAUUUUGGAUAUUCAUCCUUUAAGGAUUUCUUUAUCCAAACAUUAGCGGUGAAUAAUAGAUGAAUUCCCCCCCAAAAUAAGAUUUUUAUAGUUUUUGGAAUAUUGGCCAAUACCCUUUGGAGUUUUACAAACAUGUUGUAAAAUCCAGAAAUGCAAGAAAAUAAUUUGUGUUUAAGAAAUCUAUGCGAAAACACAUUUUCAAAACUUCCAAUAUUUUUUUUUUAUAUAAAAAGAACAUUCAAAACAUGUUAGAGUAUUGGCCGUAUGCAUGAAAACAAAACAUUUUUUUUCUUUAAUAAACAUUUUUUAAAAUGAUUUUGGAAUUUUUUUUUUUUUUUUUUAUAAUAUUAUAAUACACACACACACACACACAUAUAUAUAUAUAUAUAUAUAACUCACAUCCUGCGUGAACAGUAGGACGUGAAUUAUAUUUCACGCCUACUGUUCAUGCAGUGAACAGUAACUGGAGGGAAAGAAGAGAGAAGAGGAAGGAGAGAAAGGAAGAGGAAGGAAGGAGGAGAAAGGAAGGGGCUCACUUGGCCGAAGGGGUUGUGGCUGCUGUGAUGAGGUGGUUCAGCCGGUGGUUGCAGCGGUGGAGUUGGAGGAGGAUGGCGUCGGUUUCCUGUUGCAGAGGAAGAAAGAAGAAGAAGAAAAAUCUGCAGAAAUUGGGCGAAAAUGCUGGUUUUUGGCUGACUUGGACCCGAAUUUCUCCCCCCUCAGAUCAUCAAAUCCGACUCUAUUUAUAGGCUGUAGAAGAGGGCAAUCUUGUCUACGUUGGUAAAAAAUUUCAGCCCUUGAUUCGGUUCGGAAGCAUCUCAACCGUUGGCUCAAAGUGUGCACCUUGAGCUGCCAAAUUUGGCAGCUCAAGGCUGUGAACUGCCCGAGGUGGCCACUUUGAGCCACUCAACGGAGCCGUUUCUAACUUUUUCGACCCGACCUGAACAUUCUCCGGGAUAAAGGGGUUUCAUGUGGACAUGUUGGUGCAUGUUUGGUCGGAUUUGGAGGCCACACGAGCCCGAAAAUGCGCCUGGAAAACAGCCCCUCAGGCAGCUUUCUGAGGAAGAAAGUGAACAGUAAAUUAAGGCACAUUUCCCAAAUUGGUCCCUGGUUUCAGAUUUUCUUAAUUAAGCCCCUAAUUGAUCAAUAAACUUCCAAUUUCUUCAAUUAAGCCCCUGAUUUGACCUAAUAAAUUCCUAAAAAAUAUAUUUUGGCCCCAGAACUUAAUUUCUUUUAAUUAAAGCCCAAAUUGACUUAAAAAUCAAUUUUCCUUGCAAUCAAAUCCUCUAUAAAAUCAAUUAAAAAUCCAAUUAAGUCCAUAAACAUCCAAACUUGGGCUUUUCUCCUCAAAAUUUAAAUUUCCUUCUCAACAGGGCUCUCAUCCUUCAAGAAUAUACUGUCAAAAAUCCAAUCUUUGUAUUUUUAACCUCCUUGACCGAUUUUUCUGACCAUUUGUCGAGCGCUUCUGCCUCCUAUUAUUUUUCUAGCCUCUUUUGGCUAUUUAUUUUUUUUUUUUUUAUGGGGACCCAAAAAUAGGUUACAACAACUCAAAACGAUGCAGAUGAAGGAUGCAAAAUUGCAGACAAAGAUAACAAGAAAAAACAAUUUCAAUUGCAUAGCUCUUAUGCCCGUAAUACACCUCCACCCCAAACACAACAUCCCCUUCGUAGUGAUCCCUACUCGUUUCAAUUGAAAGAGAAUACCUAUUUGUGAUUGAUUAAAAGAGAAUAUUUAUUUGUAGUUGGAAAGUUGGAAAGCAGAUUGACGAGAAAGGGAUAAGAGAGGGGAAUUGUAUUUAUUGAAAUUUUUAUUUAAUUUUUUUUAUUGGAUUUUUUGGGUUGACCCGAGUUAACCCAGGUCAAUCCAUCUGACCCAUGAGCCGAUCAUUAGACCGGGUUGAUUACCAGGUCGGAUUUCAAAACUAUAGUUUUACUCCACCAAAUUAUUUAAAACUGCAUUACCUAAAUAACAAUAGGAAUUCUUUUUAUGAUAAUAGAAAAUAAUUUUUUUAAAAAAUCCACACUUGAAUUAUUAGGAGUUUAAAUUAUUUAAAACUAGAAGUUGGCCCAAAUUAAAUUUUUUAAGAGAAAAAGUAGAUGUUGUCAACAAGUUUUCUAGUAGUAAAAAAAAUUUAAUUAUGAAUAUAAAAUUUGACACAAUGAUUGAUAAAAUUAAUCAAGAAUUAUACAGGAUAAUAAAUAUUAAAAAGAAUUAUUAAUAUCAACUAAAAACCAAAUAAAAAAAUCUAAGAGAUAGGUGAAGAUUAAUAUAGUGAAUUUCUAUCACAUGUAACUUUUAAAAUUUAUUUAUGAAUUUAUAUGACAAUAAAUUGUUUUUAUAUAAAAACAGUAAUAAUUUAAGUUUAAUCAAAAUAAAUUGCCAUUAUAAUUCCUCAUUUUCUUAUUAAUAUUUUUUUUAUCUCUUAAAAAAACAUAUUUUGUUGUUCUGUGUCAUUCAUUAAUGAAAAUCAAAAGUAGUCAAAACUUACAUAAAAAAAUGAAACAAUUUAAAAUAAAAAUAAAAAGAUAAUUGUCUAAUUAAAACACCUUUAUCUUAUUAUUGUGCUCAAUUUUUCUAGAAAGUUUUUACAUUAAUAUUUGUUUUUAGACAAAAUCUUAUCAUAACUAUAAAAAUAAGUUUUAUUAAAAAAUUAUUAUUAUUAUAAUUUUAACGGGAUUGUAUUAAAGAUAUAACAAUACUAUAUUAUUCACGCGUUGUUGUGGGAAAUUCUUUGGUAGUGUCAUUAAACCCUGUUUGGCCUAGGGGUCAAUUUAGAUCCCUUCAACCUAACUCGGGUUUCAAAUUAAGCCAUGUGAGAGUUGAUCUAACAUGAUCGGAUCAAGUUUGUUGAUCAAAAAAUGACUCGGUCAACCCGGUCAAAAUCUAAUUUGAUUUGGUUAAAAAACUUCUAAAUGCCAUCUUUUUUUCUAAUAUUGUGACUACAACAUUUUAAAUUGAUCACGGCUAAGCCGGAUUCACUUAUCAAAUUAGUGACCCGGGUUAUAGACUCGAUUGAGUUUAACAGCUUAUUGUUUUGAAACUAUUUUUUAUUUCAUUAUAUAAUAAAAAAAAAAUGCAUGCAGGAAAGCCACCAAAAUAAAAUUAAAACAAAACAAAAACAGAAUCAUGAAGGUCUGCAAAAACAAAUUCUUGAAAAUAUUAUAAAAACAAUGUUAUAAUCUUAUUCAAAAAUAAGAUUAUAACAUUCUUAAUUAAUAAAAUAAUAUCCCAAAAUAUUUUUAAUUGGUGUGUGUAUAAAAAGUCUUAAAAGGGACUAGAGAACUAACCCUAGGUCUAAGAGUGUGUUUGGUAUUGCGGUAACUGUUGUGGUUGUGGUUUGAAAAAAGUUGUUUUAUAAAAAAUACUUUUAGUUGAGGUUGGUUUGAAAAAAUAGGUGUUUGGUUAAAACUGUGAUUGAAAUUAAGAUUGAAGAAAAAGUAGUUUAAUAUGUUUGGUUAAGAAUACUUUUAAAAUUGAGGUUAUAAAGUAAUUUAAAUAUAUAUAUAUAUAUAUAUAUAUAUAUAUAUAUUAAUAUUGAUGAUUUUUAAUUUAAAUAUUGUGGAUUUAACUAUUGCUAUUAUAUCAUAAAAUAAAUCAUACUUUAUAUAAAAUAUUUUUUGUUAUUCCAUAAAACCAUCUAUAAUUCCAUUACGUAUGAAAUACAUCUGACAAGAGCUACAGUUUCCAUAAUUUUUUUAGCGUGUAAUAAAAUUAGAUAAAAUAUUAUCAUGUAUAAAAUUCACUCUAAACUUUUUUUUUUAAUGUUAAAAAAAUUAACACACUAAAAUAAAAUUAACACACUAAAAUAAAAAAAAAAAAAAAAAAGAAGAAGAAGAAAAUGUCCACGCAGUGCAAGUGAACAAUGCAAGAGAAUUGCACUGUUCAUGUUAAUUGCAUUGUUUAUUAAACAGUGCAAUUAACAUGAAUAAUACAAAAAAAGCAAGGAAUUCUUGCUUUUCAAAUAUUGCGUUUCCAACGCAGAUAAAGUGGGACCUAGUUAACAGUAUGUCUCUUUUUUCUUUAACCAAACGGUUGCAAAUUGUAUUUUAAUUAAAAUGCAGCCGCAUAGCCAAACGAGCUCUAAAUGGGCCAACAAACCUAUCUCACUGAAAAAGAGCAAGGUGUAUACAAGGCCAAACCCGAGCAUUUGGCCUUUUUCUUUCUUUCUUUUUUCUUUUUCUUACAAUGGGCAGAAAUUCAUCAUUCAUUACUUGCAUUCCCAUCAUUUCAGUUAGUUGAAAAGUUGUUAUGAUAUCAGGUAAUUAGAUAAAAAAAAACCUUGUUUUCAAUCUAUUUUCACAAGAAAAUAUCUAAGAAACACUAGAAAAUUUUAAAUUAACCAAUAUCUAACUUUAAAACAACUUUUAAUCUCUUAGAAAUUUGAAAAUUCAUCUCGAUUAAAAAAAACGACUCAAUCUCCAAUCUAUUUUCACUAGCAAUAUGAAGGGUAAAACACAUCAAUUGAACUUUUAUUGUCAAAUAACAUUUAUUGACACCAAUAAUGGGUUGUUUUUUUCUUGUUUGGAAUAUGGUUAAUAAGCUACCUUUUCUUUUCUCCCUUUUUAUUAGACAACUCUUUUUCUUAUCUCUCAAGUUUAGAAACCGAAACAAAAACAAAAUGAAGUUAUGGGCUACAACAUAAAAAACAUGAAUAAAAAAAUUUUAGGGAACAAAAGUAAAAAAAAAAAAAAAAAAAAAGUGCCUAAAGAACACUAAAGAAAAAAUAAAAAUAAAAAGGUUGUAUUUUUGUUUAAGAGUCAAAUUCAAUUCCUAAAGUUUCAAUAUUUUUAGCAGUAAAAUUAAAUAUUUUCUUGUUAAAUAAACAUCAAUUUCAUAUUGGAAUGUAUUUUUAACAUCGCAAGAACCAUAUAACAAGCUAAUUGAAAUAAAUUAUCAGCCUCAAUCUAGGCUAAUAAAACUUAUAAGGAUGAAAUUAAAAAAAAAAUUGAUACCAAAGUAAAAAAUUCUCCUAAAACCAAAAAAAAAAAAAAAAAAGAGAAAACACUAUUGAAAUCUAUAGUUUUUUCUCUCAAAAGAAAAUCAACACCUCUUUUAAUUUUUCUUAUAAUGCAAUGCAUUUAAAGUAACAACAAGAAGUUAAACCAUGUUCUUGCCAUAAUGAUAAGGGUAUUAUUAAUCUAAUUUUUUUUUUUAUUAUUAAAAUUAAGUAAUUUCUCAAAGAACUAAGGAUGCCAAAAUAUGUAUUGAUUACACAGAUAUAAAUAAGAGAAUAGUUAUAUUUAAAGAAAUAACGACGUCUCCCUUAAAACAUUCAUUUCUCGCAAAAAUAUAUAUAUAUAUAUUUAUUAUGUGUUUUUUUAAAAAAAAUUGUAUUAUCAUUAAUUAUCCUGAUUUUUUAAAUUUAUUUUACAUUAUCUCUGAAAAUGAGAUCAUUUGACAUCAAUUCCAUAAAAAAAGAUUUAUUUUUUUUUAUAUAUAUAAAAAAACCUUUACUACCUGUGGACUUAUAGAAAAAGAUUAAAUUAAAACUCUAGUUUCUAAAUUAACCCCUAAACUUAUAGAAUUUUAUGAACAAUUCCGUCUCUAAUUAUACUUUAUGUUUUGCUCACCACGCAAAUAAUGAUUGUUAACUGCAUACCUUUAUAGGUGCCCCUUCAGCAACGAAGCUACUGUAACUACAGAGAUGAAGCAGCUUUUGGAAAGCAUCUAUUUUGGUUCGAAUACCACUGGAAGCUUUCCACUCGGACUACCUUUCACCAUAGGGGACAACAGGAGAGCUUCAAGCCCUCUCCUUAGCCGGCGCAGCGUUGAUAUUGUAUAACCUUAGGCGGCAGUUGAGUCACUCUCGUCCCUGGGUGGGGUUUAGUUCUUCCCCCCUAUUUGGAAAAGAAAAAAUGGCUAAGUCCAUUUCUUGGAUUCUCCCUUACGUGACAAAUCAUUAAAAAAGCACCAUUCUGACUUCCGACAACUAUAAAAACAAUCGAACAGAUGCGGGAAUAUAAUAAGCCAAUAGCACUAGGGUUAGUUACACUUUCUCUUAACAGACGGGACAAGGAUUUUUUUUUUUUCAAGUAAAAAUAACAAUUUUCAAACUUUAUUUUUAUUGGUAUUACUCGUUUAAGGUCUAAUUUCAAUUCCAACUAUAUAUUUUUUAUUUGUUUUUGUUAUUUUCAUGGUUUUUUAACACACCAAAAUUAAAUAAAAUUUACUAAAUUUACUAAGAAAGCAUUUUUUUUUCUAAGUUUAAAAAAAUAUAUAAAAAAGGCAGUAAGAAAACAAAGGGUUAUAUCAUCCUCCAUCAAAGAUUCUACCUUGUAGCUCUCUUUCUUAAAGUAAAUUGUUCUUGUCAUAGUUUUUCAAUAAUUGUUGCUUGGAAGCGAUAUUAUUCUUAUAAUUCAUAGGGAGAGGUGGAUGGCAUAACAUUGAUGAAAAAUGUGUUCAAAUCAUAUUCCAAAGAAUUAUCAAUAAAUUCAAUAAAUUGGAGGGUGUGGAAACUAUAAUGUUUUAGCAUGCCUUGUUAAUAAGCAUGUUACACAACCAUAUAGUAAUUAGAUUUCAAUUUAUGUCACUUAAGGCAUCUCUCUAAUGGCAGAAAUCAUUAAAAAAAAACUAAAUUGUUGAUAUAACGUUUUUAAUAGUAUAAAUAUAGUUUUUUCUAUGUACUCCAAUGAAAAAAAUCAUUUUAACAAUCCAUUUUUAUUUUAAUAUAUUUAAUAUUAAUACUUUUAGCUUCUUUUUUUUUUAAAGUAAUGAGAAAUUAAGUUGUGGAGAUAAAAGAAGUAAUAUUUAAAUAAUCUAUUUUAAUAUUUUUGGCUCUCUUGAUUAGAUAUGUAGGAAUUAUUUUUCUUUAAUAGAAAAAUUAUUUUAGCUCUUCAUUUGUCUAUCCAUUUAAAGCUGUAAAAUAAAAUAAAAAUAGCUACGAAAAUUACUUUUUUUAAGUUCCUUUUUUUACUCCUCUUGUACACCAAAUCCGAGUUUCAUAGAGACUAGACAUAGGAGUAUGGCAUACGCUAAACUGGCCUAAGCUAACCUUUUUUUAUUGACAUAUGCUACAUUGUUUUUCUUUUUUUCAUUCUAAACAGAGCAUUUGCCAAUAAAAAUAAAAUAAAAUAAAAAACUUAAGGUCCGGCAAUGAUGUUUUUUUAUUGGCCCAUCAUUAAUUUUGUUAUCCAUACACAGUAUAGACCGGCCCAUCACUAAACUGGGAAUAAUGAGUUUAUAUGGGCUUUAGAGCAUUGUGUAACACUUAACAGUGUGCACUUCAGGCCCAUUUAAGAAGAGAAAAAAGGGACAGGGAUAAAGUCUGAAGGGUCAGAAAAAAACUGACAAAUUGAUUAAAUUGAAAACAUUUAAUCAUAAAAAAAGAAUUUAAUUAAUAGAUUAGAAUAUUUUAAAAAAAAUUAGUUAAGUUUGGUUUCUAUUUCAUAAAACUGAAAUAAAAAAACCGAACCGAAUAAAAAAAACCCAUUAAAAAAUCCGAAAAAUAACCCAAAAAACAACAUAAUUUUUAAUUUUUAAUAUAAAAUAAUCAUAAUAAAUCAAACCAGUCGAUUAAGUUUCAGUUUUUUAUAUAAAAUAAUUGUACCAAACCAAAACCGAUCAAUUGAAUUUUAGUUUUUAAUAUAAACAGCCUAGAAAUGAUGUUUAAAUUGGACUUUAGAGCAUUAGAUAACAGAGCUUGUUUGUUUUGCAUUUCAAAAGUACUUUUAAAAAAAAUUAAAAUUUUUUAAUUUUUUUAUUAACUUCAAAUUAAUAUAUUUUUACUGUUUUCAAAUCAUUUUAAUAUUCUAAUAUUAAAAAUAAUUUUUAAAAAAUAAAAAAAUUAUUAAUAUAAAAAAUUAUUUAAAAAACAACGAUAACCAUAAUAAAAAACAAGCUUUUAAGAAUAUGCUCUUCAGGCACAUUUAAGAAGAGACAUAGGGACAAGGACAAAAUAGUCUGAAGCCUAAAAACAUUGUGGGAUUUGACAGACCCAACAAGGCAACAAGGCCCUGUUGACGUCGAGAAAAAGGGUUGCACCAGCCGGGAAUCGAACCCGGGUCUGUACCGUGGCAGGGUACUAUUCUACCACUAGACCACUGGUGCUUGUCGGUGUCAACUUGUGGAAUCAUUAUUUAGUUAUAAAUAAUGACACGCCCAUCUCCUAGUCAAACACAGAAGCAAAAUAGCAGACUGUGUCUUUGACAGAAAUCUUGUACCAUUACGACAAAGUUUAACUUUCUAUCUCGCUAAAAAGCAAUAUUCCUACCUGCCCACCACCUACUCACCUAAUAAUAGUCAUUCCUUGCCUAGUGAAAUGUGACAAAAAAACAUGGGUAAUGAUCAUACUAGUGCUUUGUUCUCUUCUAUAUAUUUAUUUAUUUAUAUAUAUAUAUGGUGAAUUGACUAGAGCGUGCACAUAAUACUUCUUCUAGUCAUGAUGAUCAGUGAGGUUUUUGGUUUUAAAAUCAACAACUCCAUUGAAAUUCUUAAACUUGAAGAAUGUGCAAAGACAAAGGUGACAUGUUAGCAAAGAGGAAGAGAAAUUUAAGGGAAAAAAUAUCAGUGGAUUUGCUGUAUUUAUGUACACGCCAAUAUGCUAGUAUUUAUGUACAGAAACAAGAAAGGAUUCUCCUCUACAUUAUUGUCCCAGUCUAUCAAACAUUCAUAAAGAAAAAACGCAAAUCAAAAUUAAGGCUCCCUCCCCAUUGUUUCAUUUUUUAUGCUCUUGGAUCUUGAUCCUGCCAACUUCUGCAGCUUCUUCCAAGCUUGCCACGGAAAAUCUGGCAAAUUUUAGUUCAUUAACUUUGCAAAAAAAAAACCAACAGAUACUGUAAUUCAUCAACUGAAUUCAGAUUCACCUACCCUCCACUACAGUAUUGCUCCAAGAUAAAGACAUAGACGAUGAGUUGUAUCGUCUAAUUUCAUCAAAAGUUGGGUGCGAUCCAUGGCUAGAACUUUGAGAAUAACUCGACCAAAAAUCCUUAGACUUCAUCUGUUGUAGCAAACAUGCAUCCAUAUCCUCACUUUCAAUCUCACUAAGCUCAUUGUUACCCUCCAUGACCUUCACUACUUGCCUCAUUGUCGGCCGCACUUUAGAGUCAGGAUAUGACACAAUAAGCCUAAUGAAGCAUUCUUUCUACUUCUCCUUCGUCAAAUUGUUCUCCUCUAGCCUUUAGUCGCUCAUCCAAGGCAUUAAGUGACUGCCCUUGCAACAUCAACUGCCAAACCGAUUCCACCAAAGGUGGCUGCCCUUCUUCUAUAGGCCUCCUUCCACACAUGACCUCCAAAAUCAAGACCCCAAAACCGAACACGUCGGUUCGAGCUGAGGCUCUUCCGCUUCGAACCACCUCAGGUGCCAUGUAUCCUAUGGUUCCAACCACCCGCGUGGUGCUAGGCACUUGACCAUGCCCGUGCACUCGAGCCAAUCCAAAAUCACCUAACCUUCCAUUCAUAUCCAUGUCAAGUAACACGUUGCUGGCCUUAAUGUCUCUGUGGAGGACUUGAGAAUCCCAUCCCUCGUGCAAAUACAGUAACGCAUAAGCCACAUCUUUCAAAAUUCUUAUUCUCUCUUCACAGCUCAACAUUUUACUCUCAUCACAAUCGAACACCCUCUUCUCCAAACUCCCAUUUUCCAUGUAGUCAUAUACCAACAUGAAGACUCCUCUUUCUCUCUUGCAC
This 16052-nucleotide long non-coding RNA is filed under the name Populus tremula. RNAcentral describes it as "long non-coding RNA (PTRE_LNC000634)". The record is from RNAcentral. Lineage: Eukaryota; Viridiplantae; Streptophyta; Magnoliopsida; Malpighiales; Salicaceae.